This 404-nucleotide ribosomal RNA is filed under the name Actinomycetes bacterium. RNAcentral describes it as "Actinobacteria bacterium partial 16S ribosomal RNA". It matches the Rfam family "Bacterial small subunit ribosomal RNA", at positions 355 to 776 of the family's 1533-position model. Lineage: Bacteria; Bacillati; Actinomycetota; Actinomycetes. The record is from RNAcentral.
UGGGGAAUAUUGGACAAUGGGCGCAAGCCUGAUCCAGCCAUGCCGCGUGAGUGAUGAAGGCCCUAGGGUUGUAAAGCUCUUUCACCGGUGAAGAUAAUGACGGUAACCGGAGAAGAAGCCCCGGCUAACUUCGUGCCAGCAGCCGCGGUAAUACGAAGGGGGCUAGCGUUGUUCGGAUUUACUGGGCGUAAAGCGCACGUAGGCGGACUUUUAAGUCAGGGGUGAAAUCCCGGGGCUCAACCCCGGAACUGCCUUUGAUACUGGAAGUCUUGAAUAUGGUAGAAGUGAGUGGAAUUCCGAGUGGAGAGGUGAAAUUCGUAGAUAUUCGGAGGAACACCAGUGGCGAAGGCGGCUCACUGGACCAUUACUGACGCUGAGGUGCGAAAGCGUGGGGAGCAAACAGG